GGAGAAAAGGCAGCUUACAGGUGAACCUUCUCAUUUCUACAACUACCUGAAAGGAGAUUGUAGCAAGACUGUACUGAUACUGGGAGUUACCUGAACUUCUGAGGCAGAGGUGAGGCUGACAGACAGGGUUGAAUUGUGCAUAUGGAGGAGUGACCAGACAGAGGUUGGAGCUUCAUUUCCAUUCAGUCCUUGGCCUUUGUCCUGACUUUGCCAUUGAGGAGAGCGAUUAAUGCCAGACGAGACAUGGCUUUUUUGAAGGAAAUGCUAGCCUGCUAUGAUCAGUAUUGGCACCAGAGAGAAAACAAAUAACAUUUCCAGACUUCAAAAGAGACAGAGCAAUAGCAAGAACUACAGUAAUCAUAAACAUAACAAUAAAUUUCUUUUUUUUUUUUCCUAUUACCUGAAAGCUUACAAGCCUGCUGGUGGUUUGGGCAAAGACAACGAAGCUAAAUGCACAUUUUAAUAAAUUGUCUUUACCUGUGACCUUUCUCUAUUCUUAAUCCA
Molecule: long non-coding RNA, 504 nt
Organism: Lepidothrix coronata (blue-crowned manakin)
Lineage: Eukaryota; Metazoa; Chordata; Aves; Passeriformes; Pipridae
Exons: 4
Source: RefSeq, a predicted model, not a curated record